UAGGUAUCAAGAGCGCGGGGAGGGAACUGGCCCUAUGAUCCGCCGGCAAAUCUUGCUUUUUAUGCAAGGGAGUGCUCCUUCCAGCCCGUACAACAUACGGGGAAGAUAAGUC
This 112-nucleotide non-coding RNA is filed under the name Candidatus Sungiibacteriota. RNAcentral's name for it is "Candidatus Sungbacteria SAM-I sequence". It matches the Rfam family "SAM riboswitch aptamer (S box leader)". From Rfam's summary of the family: The SAM riboswitch is found upstream of a number of genes which code for proteins involved in methionine or cysteine biosynthesis in Gram-positive bacteria. The SAM riboswitch acts at the level of transcription termination control. The record is from RNAcentral.